ACAAGCGGAGGAGCAUGUGGUUUAAUUCGAUGCAACGCGAAGAACCUUACCUGGUCUUGACAUCCCGGAGACCCUUAGGAAACUAGGGGUGCUUCCAUCUGGAAGAAUCUGGAGACAGGUGCUGCAUGGCUGUCGUCAGCUCGUGUCGUGAGAUGUUGGGUUAAGUCCCGCAACGAGCGCAACCCUUGCCUUUAGUUGCCAGCAGUUCGGCUGGGCACUCUAAAGGGACUGCCGGUGUUAAACCGGAGGAAGGUGGGGAUGACGUCAAGUCCUCAUGGCCUUUAUGACCAGGGCUACACACGUACUACAAUGGCCGAUACAAAGGGCAGCGACACUGCGAGGUGAAGCCAAUCCCGUAAAAUCGGUCUCAGUCCGGAUUGGAGUCUGCAACUCGACUCCAUGAAGUUGGAAUCGCUAGUAAUCGUGGAUCAGCAUGCCACGGUGAAUACGUUCCCGGGCCUU
RNAcentral lists this ribosomal RNA (462 nucleotides) under uncultured Desulfobulbus sp. RNAcentral's name for it is "bacterial SSU rRNA". It matches the Rfam family "Bacterial small subunit ribosomal RNA", at positions 925 to 1382 of the family's 1533-position model. The record is from RNAcentral. Lineage: Bacteria; Pseudomonadati; Thermodesulfobacteriota; Desulfobulbia; Desulfobulbales; Desulfobulbaceae.